GCCUGGCUAGCUCAAUCAGUAAAGCAUCAGACUUUUAAUCUGAGGGCCCAAAGUUCAAUUCCCUGAUUAGGCG
RNAcentral lists this transfer RNA (73 nucleotides) under Pelodiscus sinensis (Chinese soft-shelled turtle). It matches the Rfam family "tRNA". From Rfam's summary of the family: Transfer RNA (tRNA) molecules are approximately 80 nucleotides in length. Their secondary structure includes four short double-helical elements and three loops (D, anti-codon, and T loops). Lineage: Eukaryota; Metazoa; Chordata; Testudines; Trionychidae. The record is from Rfam by way of RNAcentral.